GUACGCUGGCGGCACGCCUAACACAUGCAAGUCGAACGAAGUAGCAAUACUUAGUGGCAGACGGGUGAGUAACAUGUGGGUAUCUGCCCUUUGGCCUGGAAUAACACGAGGAAACUUGUGCUAAUACCGGAUAAGUCUUUACAGAGAAAGCUUUAUGCACCAAUGGAUGAGCCUGCACUUGAUUAGUUUGUUGGUGGGGUAAUGGCCUACCAAGACUGUGAUCAAUAGCUGAUUUGAGAGGAUGAUCAGCCACAUUGGGACUGAGACACGGCCCAAACUCCUACGGGAGGCAGCAGUGGGGAAUCUUGCACAAUGGAGGAAACUCUGAUGCAGCGAUGCCGCGUGAGUGAAGAAGGCCUUUGGGUUGUAAAGCUCUUUCGUCGGGGAAGAAAAUGACUGUACCCGAAUAAGAAGGUCCGGCUA
RNAcentral lists this ribosomal RNA (423 nucleotides) under uncultured bacterium. RNAcentral describes it as "bacterial SSU rRNA". It matches the Rfam family "Bacterial small subunit ribosomal RNA", at positions 31 to 499 of the family's 1533-position model. The record is from RNAcentral.